GUAGUUACCCAGCAGGAGCAAUACCAUGAUCGAGAGGGUGGUUUUCCCAGGGUGAGGCUCACACGUUGUACUCAGAGUGUGCUGACGCCUUCGAUUUCCCCAAAUGCAGGUAAGUUGCACUGCAUCAUUUGUGGUAGUGGAGAACUGUGUGUACACACACACACA
This is a small nuclear RNA of Onychomys torridus (southern grasshopper mouse), 165 nucleotides long. RefSeq annotates it as U1 spliceosomal RNA. The record is from RefSeq and is a predicted model, not a curated record. NCBI's taxonomy places the organism in Eukaryota, Metazoa, Chordata, Mammalia, Rodentia, Cricetidae. The transcript has a single exon.